This 528-nucleotide ribosomal RNA is filed under the name Thiania bhamoensis. RNAcentral's name for it is "partial large subunit ribosomal RNA". Lineage: Eukaryota; Metazoa; Arthropoda; Arachnida; Araneae; Salticidae. The record is from RNAcentral.
UCAUGAUAUUAAAUAGCCGCAAUCGUGCUAAGGUAGCAUAAUCAUUUGUCUUUUAAAUAAAGACUAGAACAAAAGAUUUAACAUUUUCAAUAUUUUAUUAUAUUCAAUUUUCAAAAAUAUUUUAAAUAUAAAAAAAUAUUUAUUUAUAAGAAAGACGACAAGACCCUAUCGAACUUAACUUAAGUUAAACUGGGGUAGUAAAUCAAUUAUCAUUUUAGUUUCAAAAACUAUAUAAAAAUCCAAAAACUUAAAUAAUUCAGUUACCAUAGGGAUAACAGCGCAAUUUUAUUUUAAAGUUCUUAUAUAAAAUAUAGAUUACGACCUCGAUGUUGAAUUAAUAAUCCAUUUUAAAGCAAAAUUUAAAUAAGGAAGUCUGUUCGACUUUUAAAAAAUUACGUGAUCUGAGUUCAGACCGGAGAGAUGUGUGCUAUAGAGUUUACGACCUCGAUGUUGUAUCAGGACAUCCCGAUGGUGCAGCCGCUAUUAAAGGUUCGUUUGUUCAACGAUUAAAGUCCUACGUGAUCUGAG